UGGCGGUUAGUAUAAGGAUUACAUUUUGCUUACACCAAAAAAAUGAGGUCACCUCAUCGCCAA
RNAcentral lists this transfer RNA (63 nucleotides) under Cryolaternula elliptica. RNAcentral's name for it is "tRNA-Val". The record is from RNAcentral. Lineage: Eukaryota; Metazoa; Mollusca; Bivalvia; Laternulidae.